This 536-nucleotide long non-coding RNA is filed under the name Ananas comosus (pineapple). RNAcentral's name for it is "long non-coding RNA (ACOM_LNC027029)". The record is from RNAcentral. Lineage: Eukaryota; Viridiplantae; Streptophyta; Magnoliopsida; Poales; Bromeliaceae.
GAAGAAAGUAAUCGGAUAAAAGCAUACGUGCAGAAAUAUGUUUUUCCGUUUUAUGGUGAGACUAGAGACUAGAGAUGUUAACGGGCCGGAUUCGAGGCGGAUUUUCAAAAAUCUGAACUCGAAUCCGACUCCAUAGCCAAGACCCGAACCCAACGGUUUUAAAAAUUCAUAUCCAAAUUCAAAUCCGACCAAAAAUUCGAAACCUGAACCCGAAAAUUCGAACCCAAAAUAAUUAUUUGUUUUCGAUGAUGGAUUCUUGAAAUCGACGAUCAGUAAUAUUAAAUAUGAUCUAUAUCACUUGAAAUAUCUAAAAACCAAACUUCAAAUUUGUUCAGGUUAUAUUUGAAUUUGCAUUUUAAAAAAUUUAGAAUUUACGUAAUAUGUUUUUAAAUAUUGUAAAAGAAAAUAAUUAUUUUGGGUUCAAAUUUUUAGAUUCGAAUUAGUCGGUUUCGAAUUUGAAUAUAUAUAAAUUUUUAAAAUCCUUCGAAUUCGUGGUUAAGUUCGGAUUUCAAAUUUGGUAGGCCAAUAUUGGUUCG